CAAACGACUCUCGGCAACGGAUAUCUCGGCUCACGCAUCGAUGAAGAACGUAGCAAAAUGCGAUACUUGGUGUGAAUUGCAGAAUCCCGUGAACCAUCGAGUUUUUGAACGCAAGUUGCGCCCAAAGCCAUCCGGCUGAGGGCACGCCUGCCUGGGCGUCACG
RNAcentral lists this ribosomal RNA (163 nucleotides) under Faberia thibetica. RNAcentral's name for it is "5.8S ribosomal RNA". It matches the Rfam family "5.8S ribosomal RNA". Rfam says of the family: 5.8S ribosomal RNA (5.8S rRNA) is a component of the large subunit of the eukaryotic ribosome. The record is from RNAcentral. Lineage: Eukaryota; Viridiplantae; Streptophyta; Magnoliopsida; Asterales; Asteraceae.